Molecule: ribosomal RNA, 612 nt
Filed under: Triticum aestivum (bread wheat)
Lineage: Eukaryota; Viridiplantae; Streptophyta; Magnoliopsida; Poales; Poaceae
Description: partial small subunit ribosomal RNA
Source: RNAcentral
AUGAAUCCCGAAUAUGACUACCUCUUCAAGCUGCUGCUCAUUGGGGACUCGGGCGUGGGGAAGUCUUGCCUGCUGCUGAGGUUUGCGGAUGAUUCAUAUCUGGAGAGCUAUAUCAGUACUAUUGGUGUUGACUUCAAAAUCCGCACCGUUGAGCAAGAUGGAAAGACGAUAAAGCUGCAAAUUUGGGAUACUGCUGGACAAGAGCGAUUUAGGACCAUCACAAGCAGCUACUACCGUGGUGCCCACGGCAUCAUUGUUGUGUAUGAUGUGACUGACCAGGAGAGCUUCAACAACGUCAAACAGUGGCUUAAUGAAAUUGACAGGUAUGCUAGUGAAAAUGUGAACAAGCUUUUGGUGGGGAACAAGUGCGAUCUAGCUGAGAGCAGAGUGGUUUCUUACGAGGCUGGCAAGGCCCUUGCCGAUGAGAUUGGAAUACCAUUCCUGGAAACCAGUGCCAAGGAUGCAACAAAUGUGGAGAAGGCAUUUAUGACCAUGGCUGCAGAGAUAAAGAACAGGAUGGCAAGCCAACCGGCUGGAAAUGCCAGCAAGCCUGCCACCGUGCAAAUGCGGGGUCAGCCUGUUGCCCAGCAAAACGGAUGCUGCUCGUCUUGA